This 253-nucleotide ribosomal RNA is filed under the name uncultured prokaryote. Its description in RNAcentral is "partial 16S ribosomal RNA". It matches the Rfam family "Bacterial small subunit ribosomal RNA", at positions 524 to 776 of the family's 1533-position model. The record is from RNAcentral.
GACGAACCGUGCGAACGUUGUUCGGAAUCACUGGGCUUAAAGGGCGCGUAGGCGGAACACCAAGUCCGGGGUGAAAUCUUUCGGCUCAACCGAAAAAUGGCCUUGGAUACUGGCGUUCUGGAGGGAGGUAGGGGCAGCUGGAACUUCCGGUGGAGCGGUGAAAUGCGUUGAUAUCGGAAGGAACGCCGGUGGCGAAAGCGAGCUGCUGGACCUCUUCUGACGCUGAGGCGCGAAAGCCAGGGGAGCGAACGGG